RNAcentral lists this ribosomal RNA (302 nucleotides) under uncultured bacterium. Its description in RNAcentral is "partial 16S ribosomal RNA". It matches the Rfam family "Bacterial small subunit ribosomal RNA", at positions 508 to 807 of the family's 1533-position model. The record is from RNAcentral.
GCAGCAGCCGCGGUAAGACAGAGGAUGCAAGCGUUAUCCGGAAUGAUUGGGCGUAAAGGGCUCGCAGGCGGUUUCUUAAGUCUGAUGUGAAAGCCCCCGGCUCAACCGGGGAGGGUCAUUGGAAACUGGGAAGCUUGAGUGCAGAAGAGGAGAGUGGAAUUCCACGUGUAGCGGUGAAAUGCGUAGAGAUGUGGAGGAACACCAGUGGCGAAGGCGACUCUCUGGUCUGUAACUGACGCUGAGGAGCGAAAGCGUGGGGAGCGAACAGGAUUAGAUACCCCGGUAGUCCCUGUCUCUUAUAC